CAGCCACCGCGGUAAUACCGGCGGCCCGAGUGGCGGCCACUAUUAUUGGGCCUAAAGCGUCCGUAGCCGGGCUGGUAAGUCCCCCGGGAAAUCUGGCGGCUUAACCGUCAGAAUUCCGGGGGAUACUGCCAGCCUAGGGACCGGGAGAGGCCGGGGGUAUUCCCGGGGUAGGGGUGAAAUCCUGUAAUCCCGGGAGGACCACCUGUGGCGAAGGCGCCCGGCUGGAACGGGUCCGACGGUGAGGGACGAAGGCCAGGGGAGCGAACCGGAUUAGAUACCCGGGUAGUCCUGGCUGUAAACGAUGCGGACUUUGUGUCGGACAAGCUAUGAGCUUGUCCGGUGCCGGAGGGAAACCGUUAAGUCCGCCGCCUGGGGAGUACGGCCGCAAGGCUGAAACUUAAAGGAAUUGGCGGG
RNAcentral lists this ribosomal RNA (414 nucleotides) under uncultured microorganism. RNAcentral's name for it is "bacterial SSU rRNA". It matches the Rfam family "Archaeal small subunit ribosomal RNA", at positions 459 to 872 of the family's 1478-position model. The record is from RNAcentral.